RNAcentral lists this ribosomal RNA (200 nucleotides) under uncultured bacterium. RNAcentral describes it as "partial 16S ribosomal RNA". It matches the Rfam family "Bacterial small subunit ribosomal RNA", at positions 328 to 538 of the family's 1533-position model. The record is from RNAcentral.
ACGCUCGACACCUACGGAGGCAGCAGUGGGGAAUAUUGCACAAUGGGGGAAACCCUGAUGCAGCGACGCCGCGUGAGUGAAGAAGUAUUUCGGUAUGUAAAGCUCUAUCAGCAGGGAAGAAAAUGACGGUACCUGACUAAGAAGCCCCGGCUAACUACGUGUCAGCAGCCGCGGUAAUCUGAGGCGGGCGUGGCGAAGGC